GAGAUAGCUUUGAUGGCUGAUGUCCUCCCUCUCAAUCAACUCUUGAUUGUGCUUAGAAGGAGGAAGAAGAAGGAUGAAGAAGAGGAAGAAGAUGAUCCCCUACGCAGCCUUCUCUUGUUCCUUGUGUUGGAUGAAGGAAGGGAAGGGAAGGAGGCCGCCAACACUUGGAGAGCUUUUCCCUUGCUUGCGGCUGAGAACACCAAGGAAAGGAGAGGGCCAUGACUUGGAGGAAGAGAGGUUUUCAAUACCUAGGGUGCCGGCCUCAUAGUCCCUCUUAUAGCCAUCAAGGGCUCCUCCAAAGUUGGAGCCCUAGAUAACUUUCCAAAGAGAGAAGGGGGGCGCCGGCCCCUCUCUUGCCGCACACAAGGAGAGGAGGAGGGGCGUAAUCCCUCCUUCUUGUGAUGCCCUAAUCCUCUUCCAAAGAGGAUUGGGUACCUCUCUUAUGGUUUAAUCCCAAUCCAAUUAGGAUUAGCCAAUUGGGUUCAAUCUAUGCUAGUCCUAAUCCAACUAGGACUUGAAUGAACCAUGACUCAAUUGAACUCUUCAAUCCUAAUCCAAUUAGGAGUCAUGUUGAUUCAUUAAAUUAUUAAUUAAUUUAGACUUAAGGAAUCCUAAUCCAAUUAGGAUUUGUUUAAUUUUAGUCCUAAUCCAAUUAGGACUCUAUUUGAAUCCGAAGUCCUAAUCUA
This 686-nucleotide long non-coding RNA is filed under the name Phoenix dactylifera (date palm). RNAcentral's name for it is "long non-coding RNA (PDAC_LNC013661)". The record is from RNAcentral. Lineage: Eukaryota; Viridiplantae; Streptophyta; Magnoliopsida; Arecales; Arecaceae.